Molecule: long non-coding RNA, 541 nt
Filed under: Daphnia pulicaria
Lineage: Eukaryota; Metazoa; Arthropoda; Branchiopoda; Diplostraca; Daphniidae
Description: uncharacterized LOC124341714, transcript variant X1
Source: RNAcentral
GGCGUAGGCUAGCCCUUUAAGGCCCCCUACCUUCUUGGCUUCUUGCUUCAUUGUUAGUUGAAUCACGAUCUAUGGUUGAAUUGAAUCAUGAGGUUCUGAGAGAAAGAGUCGCCAUUUUUAGACCUUUCUAUUUUUGAGGUUUUGAAUUUUAAUGUUGGCUUAAUUAGCUGGAUUGCCACUUGAGGCAUUUCUUAGAAUGUGAUGGGUUCUAGUUGGUUUGGGUUGGCGGUUCGUGAGCUUGCUAUUAUUCUUGACUAAUUUUGAUGCUGAAAGACUUGGAAACGAUGCUGUCGACCACGUCGAGAAGCUGAGUAACAUUCUGCUUUUACAAUGGCACCUCUUAAUAAAAGGAACUUAAAAGCCAUCCAAUCUAGGGCUUCCAUCAAAUCGUGCAGGCUGCAUGCCAUGGAAGUCGCAUUUAACUUUGCUAUGAACAUCAUGAACACAUACACUAUUUGAAGUUUUGACAUUUUGGGAUUUCGUCAAGUCAACAGCUAUUUCCUUCAGGGUUGUGUUCUGUUAUGGAUUAUUUAAAGGGGAG